This 253-nucleotide ribosomal RNA is filed under the name uncultured bacterium. Its description in RNAcentral is "partial 16S ribosomal RNA". It matches the Rfam family "Bacterial small subunit ribosomal RNA", at positions 524 to 776 of the family's 1533-position model. The record is from RNAcentral.
UACAGAGACUGCAAGCGUUGUUCGGAUUCAUUGGGCGUAAAGGGUCCGUAGGCGGUCGGUUAAGUCGGAUGUGAAAUCUCGUGGCCUAACCACGAGCGGUCAUUCGAAACUAAUCGGCUAGAGGGCUGGAGAGGAGACUGGAAUUGUCGGUGUAGCGGUGAAAUGCGUAGAGAUCGACAAGAACACCGGUGGCGAAGGCGGGUCUCUGGGCAAUUCCUGACGCUGAGGCGCGAAAGCGUGGGGAGCAAACGGG